UACAGAGGUCUCAAGCGUUGUUCGGAUUCAUUGGGCGUAAAGGGUGCGUAGGCGGCGUGGUAAGUCGGGUGUGAAAUCUCGGAGCUUAACUCCGAAACUGCAUUCGAUACUGCGGUGCUUGAGGACUGGAGAGGAGACUGGAAUUCAUGGUGUAGCAGUGAAAUGCGUAGAGAUCAUGAGGAAGACCAGUGGCGAAGGCGGGUCUCUGGGACGGUACUGACGCUGAGACGCGAAAGCGUGGGGAUCAAACAGG
RNAcentral lists this ribosomal RNA (253 nucleotides) under uncultured bacterium. Its description in RNAcentral is "partial 16S ribosomal RNA". It matches the Rfam family "Bacterial small subunit ribosomal RNA", at positions 524 to 776 of the family's 1533-position model. The record is from RNAcentral.